Molecule: ribosomal RNA, 406 nt
Filed under: uncultured bacterium
Lineage: Bacteria
Description: partial 16S ribosomal RNA
Rfam family: Bacterial small subunit ribosomal RNA
Source: RNAcentral
AUUGAACGCUGGCGGCCGGCCUAACACAUGCAAGUCGAACGAGUGGCGGACGGGUGAGUAAUGACUGGGAAACUGCCUGAUGGAGAGGGAUAACUACUGGACACGGUAGCUAAUACCGCAUACCAUCAGCUGUGCCCAGAUGGGAGUAGCUUGGUGGUGGGGUACCGGCUCACCAGGGCGACGAACCCUAGCUGGGUUGAGAGGAUGACCAGCCACAGUGGAACGUGGACGCGCGCCCUGCUCGUACGGGAGGCCGCAGUGGGGAAUAUUGCACAUGGGGCGCAAGCCUGAUGCAGCCAUGCCGCGUGUAUGAAGACGGCCUUCGGGUUGUAAAGUACUUUCAGCGUGGAUGCGUUACCCGCAGAAGAAGCACCGGCUAACUCCGUGCCAGCAGCCGCGGUAAUUC